This 1178-nucleotide long non-coding RNA is filed under the name Trifolium pratense (red clover). RNAcentral describes it as "long non-coding RNA (TPRA_LNC012028)". The record is from RNAcentral. Lineage: Eukaryota; Viridiplantae; Streptophyta; Magnoliopsida; Fabales; Fabaceae.
UUUGAAGGGGGUGUGGUAGGAGGAUAAAUUUGUAUUUAGGAACAAAAUUUGUUUUAGGAGGGUUCCUUAGUUUGCUUAGUUCACCUCACUUAUCACAUGAGUCUCAUUCAUGGUGCUUGAUGUCAAAGAUGGGGGUUGAGAAAUGAGAGGUAUGUUUUCAAUGAAAUCUGCUCAUGUUGCUUUAUCUCCUGGUGUGUUAUCAUCACACCAACAAUUUUUUAACUAAUAAAUAUAUCUUACUGACUCAGCGACUAUUAUUAGAGUGCCAGCGGUUUAGAAAUUGCAUUGGUGCCUCUCGCAAGGUGCGAGUCUGGUAGUUCACCACACUGAAGUGUAAAUCUGUUUGUUUCUUCAACUGUUAAAUAAAAAACUGGCUCAGUUAUAAAACUGUGGUAAAUGGUUCAGUUUUUUACCGUGCAAUUGGGCGCAGUUCAUGGUUCAGUUUGGUUCAUAAAUGAUUUUUGAACAGGCCUAGUUCGCACAAGGGUAUGAGAGGUUUUUUUCCCACCCUAUAGUUUUUAAAAACCUGCUCCCGUUAGGGUCAGGAUUUACCCAUCUGGAUGUGAAAAACACCAUUUUUCCGGAUUUAUCCAUCCGGAGAAAAAAUAAUUGUUUUUUUUUCCGUCCAGAUCAAACAGGUAUAUUUUCAAUAAAUGAGUGGGUGAUACAAGUAGUUCUCCCGGAUUUAUUGACUUUAUAUGGAACAUUGCCCUUCCUAUGGCUACCUCUUGCAAACUAAUUUUCGUGGCACCAACAUAGUCCAGAAGCUAAACUUAAGAAAGCAAGAAAAAAAUCCCCUGCACAUCGAGUAAAACGAAAAUGAUCAUGUAUGUAUUGCACAGAUGACUGACUACAUCAAAUACGAAAAUCUAUAUUGAUAUCAGUAUAGUAAACAAUCUCUUAAAUGGCAUCCUAUAGUAAACAAUCAAGCACAAGGAGAGUAUUUCUAUGAGCUAAUUUAAUCAUUUCAUUUUAUUGACAGGAGGAAUUGAAGCUGGUUAGCUACAUGGAAAAAUGGAAAAUACAGCAUCGUUUUAAAUAGGUAUUGGAUGAAAAUUGUAUGAUAGAACAUUUGACAAACAGAAGCAUAAAAUGGCAUCUUCCUUAGUACCAUGCAAAUAUUAAACAGCGUCAUAUUCAUCACAUAAUAUAUAUAUUGUAAGCUUCAACAAAACUCG